Molecule: long non-coding RNA, 911 nt
Filed under: Callithrix jacchus (white-tufted-ear marmoset)
Lineage: Eukaryota; Metazoa; Chordata; Mammalia; Primates; Cebidae
Description: lncRNA (ENSCJAG00000078560.1)
Source: RNAcentral
GACAGGGUUUCAUCAUGUUGACCAGGAUGGUCUUGAUCUCUUGACCACGUGAUCCACCUGCCUCGGCCUCCCAAAGUGCUGGGAUUACAGGCGUGAGCCACUGUGCCUGGCCCAUAAGUGUUCUUAAUCAUAGAACUGAUGCAUAUUGGUAUUUAAAAUUGUAAUGUAUGCCUGAAGCCAAGUGUCUCACUCCUGCAUCUGCUGCGGCCUUCUAUGUAAACCCUUUUCCUUGCUAAAAUCAUCUAGAUGCACCAGUCUAAGGCCCCCAGUCACCUGGUACCCUUGAGACAGCACCAUGCUGGAGCCAGGUUGUGAUCCAGGCAGAAUGGGAUGGCCCUUCCUCCAGCAGCCCUUCUGUCUCCCAGCUGCAGUUACCAUCCUCAAAUACUAAAGUGGUUGAUACUCAGCAAUGAAAGCUGCAUGUGAGUGUGGGAGAGAGAAGGAGGUUCCGGCAGAUUGACAAAUGGAUCCAUGGUUCUGAGAAGGAGCAGGUAAGGAGGAAUUUGACAUUUACCCCAAGAUCUGACACAGCCUGGACUGUGAUGUUGCUGCGGAGGGCACGUUGGUUUGUGAAACAAGUAGCAUGAGGCCCUCAAGCCAAACUCUUCCAGCUGAAUAAAUGAGCUAAUUCUACGAUACCAGCCAGUAGAUGUCUCUCUCUGUUAUAUCCCUUCUGAUCAUUACCUUGGCCAUCAGACUGUUCUGCUACAUUACUUGACUGUACUGCCGAGAGAGAAUUGACAAUAUUAAAACAACUCCAUUGCUUUUAUGAACUGGCUCUAGGAGACUAGAGUCCAUUUCCAUUACCGAGAUGUGUUGCAUCCCUAACCAAAUGCUUUUGGAAGCAGAUAAUUAGGCAUUGCAGGCUGUGAUUGUUUAAAGAAGAUAUACAUUCAGGUUUCAGACAUGGU